This 317-nucleotide unclassified non-coding RNA is filed under the name Hevea brasiliensis (rubber tree). The record is from RNAcentral. Lineage: Eukaryota; Viridiplantae; Streptophyta; Magnoliopsida; Malpighiales; Euphorbiaceae.
CUCUUGUUCAGGCCCCAAAAAACCCCUAACUCUGUUUUCCCUCGGUACAAACCAAAACCUAUAAAAUUCCCAUUUAAACCCUCAUCACCGGGCAGAAGAGAAAGUGGGGCUCCGUUUGUCAUCCGCUGUAAAACGGCGUCUCCGAUCUUCAUGGAUUCGUCGUUGUCGUCUCUGCACCUAGCCAUGGCGGCUCUAGUUGGUGCUUCGUUGAUGGCGAUUUCGGCUUUUUACAUUCACAAGCGCACUGUCGACCAAGUACUCGAUCGUCUCAUUGAAAUCCGCCUCGGUUCACCUAAAAGCUCCAAAAUGAAAUCAGU